UACGUAGGGUGCGAGCGUUAAUCGGAAUUACUGGGCGUAAAGCGUGCGCAGGCGGUGAUGUAAGACAGGUGUGAAAUCCCCGGGCUCAACCUGGGAAUUGCGAUGGAGACUGCAAGGCUAGAAUCUGGCAGAGGGGGGUAGAAUUCCACGUGUAGCAGUGAAAUGCGUAGAGAUGUGGAGGAACACCGAUGGCGAAGGCAGCCCCCUGGGUCAAGAUUGACGCUCAUGCACGAAAGCGUGGGGAGCAAACAGG
Molecule: ribosomal RNA, 253 nt
Filed under: uncultured bacterium
Lineage: Bacteria
Description: partial 16S ribosomal RNA
Rfam family: Bacterial small subunit ribosomal RNA
Source: RNAcentral